UACGUAGGGGGCAAGCGUUAUCCGGAUUUACUGGGUGUAAAGGGAGCGCAGACGGUGGAGUAAGUCAGAAGUGAAAGCCCGCGGCUCAACUGCGGGACUGCUUUUGAAACUAUUCUGCUAGAGUGCUGGAGGGGCAGGCGGAAUUCCUGGUGUAGCGGUGAAAUGCGUAGAUAUCAGGAGGAACACCGGUGGCGAAGGCGGCCUGCUGGACAGUAACUGACGUUGAGGCUCGAAAGCGUGGGGAG
Molecule: ribosomal RNA, 245 nt
Filed under: uncultured Lachnospiraceae bacterium
Lineage: Bacteria; Bacillati; Bacillota; Clostridia; Lachnospirales; Lachnospiraceae
Description: partial 16S ribosomal RNA
Rfam family: Bacterial small subunit ribosomal RNA
Source: RNAcentral